GAUGAACGCUAGCGGCAGGCCUAAUACAUGCAAGUCGAGGGGUAACAUGAGAGCUUGCUCUUGAUGACGACCGGCGCACGGGUGCGUAACGCGUAUGCAACCUACCCACAACUGGAGCAUAGCCCGGAGAAAUCCGGAUUAAUACUCCAUAAUGCAGGGGUACCUCCUGGUACUAUUUGCUAAAGAUUUAUCGGUUGUGGAUGGGCAUGCGUCUGAUUAGUUAGUUGGUGAGGUAACGGCUCACCAAGACCACGAUCAGUAGGGGGUCUGAGAGGAUGAUCCCCCACACUGGCACUGAGAUACGGGCCAGACUCCUACGGGAGGCAGCAGUAGGGAAUAUUGGGCAAUGGGCGAAAGCCUGACCCAGCCAUGCCGCGUGAAGGAUGAAGGCCUUUCUGGGUUGUAAACUUCUUUAUAUAGGAAGAAAAGGUCAUGCGUGACCAAUUGACGGUACUAUAUGAAUAAGCACCGGCUAA
This 476-nucleotide ribosomal RNA is filed under the name uncultured bacterium. RNAcentral describes it as "bacterial SSU rRNA". It matches the Rfam family "Bacterial small subunit ribosomal RNA", at positions 28 to 500 of the family's 1533-position model. The record is from RNAcentral.